Molecule: long non-coding RNA, 2780 nt
Organism: Cornus florida
Lineage: Eukaryota; Viridiplantae; Streptophyta; Magnoliopsida; Cornales; Cornaceae
Exons: 3
Source: RefSeq, a predicted model, not a curated record
CCUCUCUCUCUGCUACUGCAAACUACAAAAUCUACAAGAAUCAGAAGUUCAAAACCCAUAUAUUUCAGUUUAUCUAUCUGUCUGCAAGAAUCAAAAGUUCAAUACCUAUUGCCUAUAUCUAAACGCAUAUCGGCAUAUCAUUUCAGAUUGUUCAAAAAAUCAAAACCCAUAUCUUUCAGUUUCCUUCGCCCGCUGUUCCAGUUCGGGAUCGCCGUUCGCAAGCUUCAGCCGCUGUCUCUCAACUCUCAAGCUUGCCCCCCUCUCUCUCUCUGCAACUGCUAACGUGUUGAUGGAAGACAAUUGGAAGUUCAAUAGUCGACUGGGUUAGAGAGAAAGAUCCCUUCAAAGAUAUUAUGUUUUGCCAUCUUCCUGCCAAGUCUAUAUUCAAGUUUAAAUUGGUUUGCAAGGAUUGGCGUCAAUAUUUGGGACUAAUGCAAUGCAAACUUUACAGACUUAUUUUUUCAGUAAAUUUUCUGGAUAUUACUAUAUGUCCAGAUAUUUCACUCCAAAGUUCAUUUCGUUAGACCGAGCAAGUUACAGGGUGGCGAAUGAUAUUUUGGAUUCCUUACCACACCGUGUAAUUGUAAGGAGCAGUUGCAAAGGUUUACUACUAUGCGAAGCACGUAACCAAAUUGGUUUAUACUAUAUUUGCAGUUCUGUGAACCUUCAGUGGGAGGUGAUUACUUGUGUCGAUGACACAGUUAAUCCAAUUAUUUCUGAAAUGGUGUUAGCUUUUGAACCUUCAAAGGAAGGGUUCAAAGGAUUUGAAAUUGUCAAUGCAUCUCUAAUUGGACCCCCUAUGACAGUUGAGGUGUAUUCAUUGAAAACAAGUUCUUGGCAAGGAUAUACAAAAGGAGGCUUAGACUCUGCAGUAGAAUUCAUUCUAACGCGUUGUACUUAAAAAGGACUGUUUAUUGGAGGAUUUCGUCUAGGAGACUCUUUUUUUUUUUUAAAUGGAUUCAGGAACUGACGGCUGUAUUGACUUGGAGUACCUAAGUGAAGAAGGAACCAUAACUGAUUGGGAGGGAAAACUCUGUUUCAUUCACUCGUACUCUGUGGGAAACGAUUGUCGUUUCAGUAUUUUUGUUUGUCCACAGAAAGAAAAGAAGAUGAUGUUGAAGAUGGAGGGUACGAUAGACCUCCUAAAAGUUUAUGAUGUAGAUCUACUGAUAUAGGUAUUAGUUGGGAUAGAAGACGAUUUAGUCAAUAUUCUCAUAGGGGAUUGACUAUAUGCAUAUCAUAUGAGGAGUUAGGAGAUAAAUGUAAUCAGAAGGGUUGUGAAUGCAAGGGAUACAUUAUGUAUUCCAUAUGUAAAUUUACUGGUGAGGUUAUAGGAGCCAAAAGAAGAUACGAAAUGUAAAAUUGAUCCUCAAGAUGAGCAAAAGCACAAAAAGAAGCCUGUUGAAAUGCUACUAGAAGAUAAGAAGCAUGAAGAAGAAGAGGCCAUGUAUGUAGAAGAAGAUCAAAAACAAAAUGGCGACAAGAAUGCAGAAGAAAUGAAAAACAGAAAGAAGAGAAGGUGAACAUGCAGUCCUUUAUUUGUCAUACCAUGCUAAUAUUUUUUGUGAACUUAGCGGUUCAAAUUCAUCAUUUUUAUUGUUGUCCUCAUAUGAUAUGAGUAUAGCCAACUAUGAGAGUAUUGACUAAAUCGUCUUCUAUCCCAGCUAAUGUAGAUCUACGCUGCAAACUUCUAGGAGGUCUAUUGGACCCUCCAUCUCCAACAUCAUCUUCUUUUCUUUCUGUGGACAAACAAAAAUACUGAGACGACAAUCGUUUCCCACAGAGUGUGAGUGAAUUAAACAGAGUUUUCCCUCCCAAUCAGUUAUGGUUCCUUCUUCACUUGGGUACUCCAAGUCAAUAAAGCCGCCAGUUCUUGAAUCCAUUUAAAAAAAAAAAAAAGUCUCUCCUAGACGAAAUCUUCCAAUAGACGGUCCUUUUUAAGUACAUCCAGAAUGAAUUCUACUGCCGAGUCUAAAGCCUUCUAAGACAACAAGCAACCAAGACUAUAGUAAACACAAGCGUUGGAGAGGGCGAUAUGAGAAGCUAGAUUUCAUUCCUGAUAUUCUCAGUGGAAGCAGCAAGCAAUACUUUAACACUACCUUCUUGACCCUGAGCACAAGUUUAUCAAAGGAACACCAGUUAUCUGGUUGAUAUUUUUAAUUUUACCUUUAGUUGUAUUGGUUAUAGACAAAUUAUUGUUCUACAUGGUUUUGAAAAAGAAAAACAUUCAACUGUGGAUGUUGUUUGAGAAAGAAUAGAAAUGCCAAAUAUUGGCCAUUUUACUGCUUACAAGUUGAAUUUCUGAAGCUGGUCCGAUCUGGUAAUCAUUCGGGCGCAUUAAAGGUCACUUGCUCUCAUUUAGGCCCAUUGGCUACUAGUGAUCCAGCUUUGCUGAAAUCCUUGAAGGAGACUUUGUUGGCAUUGCUCAAAGAUGCACUUUGUGAAGGCUUGCCCUUUCUUACUCUUGCAAGUUCACUUCAGGUUGCUAGAGGUUUUGAGAUGGGACAUUUGAAGCGAAACCUCAUGUCUACUAAUAGAAAGACCACCUCAUGAAGCAAUUCUUUAGUUUUUGACCUUUUGAAAAAAGAAAAAAGAACAACAACUUUAGUUUAGAAUAUUUUACGUACAUAGUUACUUUGGAAUAUUAUCAAGUGAUUUUGACCAAGCUGUUGUGAUUAAAGAGUUGUGUGGACAAGAAGGCCAAGUGCCUAAAUUAGGCUUUUGAAGUGACACCUUAUGACUAUUACGGCGUCCGAAAUGAAGAAGUUACUGUUUUUCAA